Cyprinus carpio (common carp) is the source of this 1747-nucleotide long non-coding RNA. RefSeq lists it as uncharacterized. Lineage: Eukaryota; Metazoa; Chordata; Actinopteri; Cypriniformes; Cyprinidae. The transcript has 5 exons. The record is from RefSeq and is a predicted model, not a curated record.
GCACGCGCCAGCGUGUGUGUUAGAGAGAGAGUUCACGCGCUCGCAGUUAAACCUGACAACGCGCUACUUUCCAUACAAUUGUGAAUAAUGAAGAUAUUAUUAAGAAUAACUGUAUGAUUGGUGUCUUUUAAAGUAACGUUAAUAUGACAUAACUCUGAAAUGAAAGAGCGUCUCUCAAACGGAGCGGAUUGGCUCACUUAGCAAUGACGUCACACGGAUGUAACGGCAUUUAGGUGUUUAACGGCGCUGAUGAGCGGACUGUAGAUAUAUUUAUAUACAUAUUAAACAACGGAAAAUCGUCUGUGUGAAAUGUGAUACAUUUAACGGAAAAGACAAAUUUCUAAAAGACCAAUUUUUAUUACAAUUUAAUUGGUUUCAUGAGUGAAAACGCCUGCUAUUGUUUUUAGUAUUAUAACCCUCAGAAAAACGAACUGUUCCCUCAGACGGUUUGUUAAUAUAAUUACUUAUUAUAAUUACAUAUUAUUACUUUCUUUCUUCAUAGUUCUAAAUGUCAUUUACUUUUGUUAUCGGUCCAUACUUUAAAAAAGUGAUUUAACUAAAUUGGUUAAGUAAAAAGUAAUUUACCUCAGGAAAACGCACUGCUGGGGAUGUCACUCAAAGGGGAGUCAGGCUGUGCGCGCGGUGGGCACGGACCCCGGCUUAUAUAAGCCGGCUGACCGGUUUCGCGGGCUUGGCACGCGAGAAAGAAUUUAAGUUUUAAGAAAAAAAAAUAUUUUCAUUUUUUUUUUAUUUAUUUUUUUUUAUGUACAAUGAUAUAAUGACACACUGCGUUAACUUGGCAUUAAACGUAGAAAACAAAACAAAAAAAACCCUUGGUUUUCAAAAAGUGUUUGUGUUUUCCUACUAUAUUCAAAGCAAUGGUGUUACCAAAAAUAUAAGUCAUAUAAUUUUUUUUUUGUUUUGAAUUGCUUCUUUCUUUGAAUUGCUUCUAGAGUUCCUCUUUGUUUAAUAUAAUUGAGCAACCCCAUAGGUGGCGAUGUACGCGCGCGAGUCGCCAAUAAGCCAAUGGAUGAAGAAGUCGUCAGUCAGGGCAAGUUGUAGUGGAGUGAUGGUUGAGAGUGCAAUUUAUUCUGCUUACCUGACUCCUGCAGACUUCUGUCCUGAUGUCUGGCUGUGGUCCCUCCAUCAUCCACUCUUUGGCAACAGGUCUAUUUAUGGAGACCACCAUGAUCUAAUCUAUACAGAUCUAGUUGUCUCUUCUCCCACAAACUCCUCUUUCAGGGUCCGGUGACAACUAGGGGGUGUCGACAAACUUCCAUUGAGGACCAUUAGACCACUCAAGAAGAAUUACCUCAUAUAACCAAGAUUUAAUGUUGUAAAGCAGAUUUUGAGCGGAUCUCCUUCAUUCUGCCGCCAGCUCACCACAACCCCUGGGUGCACCAGCUGUGGAUAUUACAGGCCAAACUUUGGUUUUCACAUUGUUUGGAGGACGAAAUCGGGCAGGAUGCAGGGGCCCACAGUUUGGGCACACAUACACAGGGCAGCUUUGGACACCCUGGGACAACAUGCUAAGAAGCACAGAUCUACCGAUAGCCCUCCAUCAUUCCCACAUCCAUCUUGCAACAAAGUUUCAUUAAGUGCAGUCCAUAACCAGUGUCUGCCAUACACGGUCUGCACCUUGUCCAUUGCAGAUGUUAUGGAUUAUUUUAUUAGAGAUCUUUCUAUUUUUUUUGAGACUGUUACUAUGUAGUCUGUUAUGUUGUGAAUAAAGUCAAACCCCCCCUCA